Helianthus annuus (common sunflower) is the source of this 859-nucleotide long non-coding RNA. RefSeq lists it as uncharacterized. Lineage: Eukaryota; Viridiplantae; Streptophyta; Magnoliopsida; Asterales; Asteraceae. The transcript is spliced from 2 exons. The record is from RefSeq and is a predicted model, not a curated record.
GUUAAUUUCCCUUUUUAAGUUAUAAUCAAGGCAUAAAAUACACACCCUAUUUAAUUUACGUCAUAAAAUAUAUUGUCAAAAAAUAUAAUAUAGUAUAAAUGUGUUAAAAGGGUCAACCCGCCAACCCGACUAGGUUAACCCAAAUCUGACCCGUUAACCUAAACGGGUUCACGGGUUCAAUUGAAACUGACCCGAACUCGUUUAGACUAAACCUAAACCCGCGAAUUUCGUGUUAGGUUCGUGUCGGGUUUUCAGGUUGUGUUAAAAAUUGACACCCCUACUAAUUCUUUGUUUUUAACUUAUUUGUCCAUUUCACUCUAUCAGCAUGCACCACCAUCGCACAACGGCGACAUCAUCGUCGGUAGGCACCAUCGCACAGUGGCGACAUCAUCGUCGGUAGGGGCGCAACUUUCAAGGGGCCAGGGGUGGGGGGAGGGACGCCCGUCCCCCCGAAUUUUUCGCUCAGUAGUGUUAUGUCCCUCGGUGAAAAUUUUCAAGCUUCGCCACUGAUCAUCGGACCACUGUCAUGCGUCGGUAGCAGGGUUAUCCAUGGUCUCCGGUGGUCCGGAUGGUGACCAAAACGACGAGUCCCACACGGUCCGAAGCCUCAAGUGGAUGGUGCAAUGUUGACGGUGUUGUCCUUCUUGGUCGCCGUCGAAAUGGCCAGUGGUGGCGUUGGGGUGAUGCAAUCAUGCAACUAUCUUUCUUGAUGGAGGUGGGUGUCAUCACACAAGUGGGCUAAGGUUAUAACUAUAACUGGUGGUGAUAAAUGUCUUCUAUGUUUUUUGAGAGAAAAAAAAUGUCUGUGUGCGUGUCAUGUGUGUGUGAAUAUGGUGGUAGUAUCUGGUAUAAUGGUAUG